GGUGAGAAGUCGGAACUUUCAUCGGCGGGUCACGAACAGAGAGCCUGAAAUUCCGUGUCUGACGAAGCCGCCGCGUGAUGCCGUGAACAGGGGGCGCUGACGUCGCUGCGCCGGUUCGACAAGACUCGGCAGCACGAGGAGAUGAGCAACGGCAAGCGCGACGACGCGCGGCCGGAGCCGAAGGGAAAGAGCUGGAACCGAGACCGAAGGGAGAGAGAGGAGAGGAGGAGCAGAAACGAAGCAAAGUCGGCAGAAACGAAGGAGGGGCGAAGCAGCGAUGCGGCCGGGCAAAGAGGAGGGGACGAGCGAUCGGGACAGCGGGGAGGAGGUGAGCG
Priapulus caudatus is the source of this 335-nucleotide long non-coding RNA. RefSeq lists it as uncharacterized. The transcript has 3 exons. The record is from RefSeq and is a predicted model, not a curated record. Lineage: Eukaryota; Metazoa; Priapulida; Priapulimorpha; Priapulimorphida; Priapulidae.